Molecule: ribosomal RNA, 353 nt
Filed under: uncultured bacterium
Lineage: Bacteria
Description: bacterial SSU rRNA
Rfam family: Bacterial small subunit ribosomal RNA
Source: RNAcentral
AGCGAACGCUGGCGGCAGGCCUAACACAUGCAAGUCGAGCGCCCAGCAAUGGGAGCGGCAGACGGGAGAGUAACACGUGGGAACAUGCCCUUCAGUUCGGAACAACCAAGGGAAACUUUGGCUAAUACCGGAUACGCCCUUACGGGGAAAGAUUAUCGCUGAAGGAUUGGCCCGCGUCUGAUUAGCUUGUUGGUGAGGUAACGGCUCACCAAGGCUACGAUCAGUAGCNGGUCUGAGAGGAUGAUCAGCCUCACUGGGACUGAGACACGGCCCAGACUCCUACGGGAGGCAGCAGUGGGGAAUAUUGGACAAUGGGCGCAAGCCUGAUCCAGCCAUGCCGCGUGGAUGAUGAA